RNAcentral lists this ribosomal RNA (253 nucleotides) under uncultured bacterium. RNAcentral describes it as "partial 16S ribosomal RNA". It matches the Rfam family "Bacterial small subunit ribosomal RNA", at positions 524 to 776 of the family's 1533-position model. The record is from RNAcentral.
UACGAAGGGGGCUAGCGUUGCUCGGAAUUACUGGGCGUAAAGGGCGCGUAGGCGGAUAUUUAAGUUGGGGGUGAAAUCCCGGGGCUCAACCUCGGAAUUGCCUUCAAAACUGGAUAUCUUGAGUUCGGGAGAGGUGAGUGGAACUCCGAGUGUAGAGGUGAAAUUCGUAGAUAUUCGGAAGAACACCAGUGGCGAAGGCGACUCACUGGCCCGAUACUGACGCUGAGGCGCGAAAGCCAGGGGAGCAAACGGG